AAGCGUUGUUCGGAUUUACUGGGCGUAAAGGGCGCGUAGGCGGUCAGCACAAGGCAGUUGCGAAAUCUCCGGGCUUAACUCGGAAAGGUCAACUGAUACUGUGCGACUAGAGUGCAGAAGGGGCAACUGGAAUUCUCGGUGUAGCGGUGAAAUGCGUAGAUAUCGAGAGGAACACCUGCGGCGAAGGCGGGUUGCUGGGCUGACACUGACGCUGAGGCGCGAAAGCCAGGGGAGCGAACGGG
Molecule: ribosomal RNA, 242 nt
Filed under: uncultured bacterium
Lineage: Bacteria
Description: partial 16S ribosomal RNA
Rfam family: Bacterial small subunit ribosomal RNA
Source: RNAcentral